AUAUUUGAACUAUCAGAACAACUCGAUGAAGUAUGUUAAAAUCUGAUCAGAUCUAUAAGAAAUAAAAAUUAAAGAUACAACUUGUGAAACAAAUGGGAGAAUUACAAACUAGAUAAAAAAAAUAUCUCCAGGUGGACCGGAAAAGGGAAAAAAGAAAUGAAAGAAAAGGGAAAUAAAUAUAAACUUCGCCCAGCGAAAAGGAUGAAAUUUCGCUGAAAUUCUGAAACAUGGUUUAAGAUUCGUAGCAUCAGAGCAACUCCAAAAAUUCCCUUAUAUUACUCCAAAACCUAAUUUAGGAAGGAAAAAAAACAAGAUCCAACAACUCCUAUUUUCCUCGCAAAAAUACAACGACGCUAAAAACUCAUCCGUUGCUAUCCGCGUCGCGACUCCUCAGAACUCCCCAAUCGGCCCCCCGUCUUCCUUUCCCGCGCGCAGAGCCGGUCCCGCCGAAUUUUUUCCCCGCUCGCGCCAGUUCUGGGAGGAGGCAAGCGUCGGAGGCGCGAGUGGCCUUGCGGCGAUGGCGGCGCGAACGGGCUUGCGAUGCAGCGACCACGUUCAUCUGCUCCGGUUCUGCAGGGGCAAGAACGGCCUGCGUCGAUCCCCCGCCCUCCCCUUUAGCCAUCUCAAUCAAUCCCACCCGCCGCCGCACCUUCGUUCGUCGUGAAUCGCCGCCAUCGCCGCCAUCGCCACCGUGGCACCUCAGGAGGCCACCCCGACGCCAAGAACCACGGGACCGAGGCCCCUACGUCGUCCCCGACGCGCGGCUCCGACCUCAUCGGCCUCUCGCCGUUCAACCACGCCCGUCGCCGAGCCCUCAUCGCUGCGGAAUCGAGGCCGGAACUCGCCGGGUGAGCUCGACCUCCGCUGCCUUUCCCCGUCGCCAUCCGAGCCUCCCUCACCCUCUCUUCUCCUUGUUUGGCCACGCAUAACCUCCGGAGGCUAUACCGACGCGCGGAAGCAAGAACCCGAGGCCGGAACCCCGUCCACCGCGCAAGCCCGCAAGCCCCGUCCGCCUCCGGCCGUCGCUCGUCAUGAAAUCAACGACGACGACACCCUGGUGAGCUGCACGAAAUCAAGACGACGCGUCGGAGGACAGAGGUAGGUGGCUCGAGCGCGUUUACCGUGGAAGGAGAAGGCAGCGCAGAGCAGCAGGAGGACGGGGAACCGGAGCGGCGGGGGUGGCGGCCAUUGAUGAGGGGGGCGGCCCAGCUCAAGGGGGCACGCGUGCUGAUGUGGCGAGUUUUAAAAUAUUGGGAAAUUUAUUAUCAAGAAUCUGCUGUGAGAUGUGAUGAUUUUGAGGAAAAUUUUUUUUAGUAGAGCCCUUCGAAACAUAGUUUUGGUAAAGAAUGUUUUGGAAACUCGCUCUCACACCAGUUACCGUCGUGCCGGCCUCACUCCAGGCUGCGGCGGCGCAGAUGGACCGCUAGGGCCACGCCCGGCAACGGGCGUAUCGACCACAGCCUGCAUUCUCGGCCACGACGACGGCGAACGGCGACUCAAGCCGUCGCGCGCGCGCGCCGGUACAACGAGCGCCGGAGAUUUAUUUCUCCAUGUUCAGGCUAUUGUUCACCACACACUAUAGUAGAUGUCCCUUGGAGUGAGAUUUUCAGUGACGAGGAUGUCCAACAAGCACAUGAGACCAAAAGCUCUUGAGGUCAGCACCUGUGACGUGAUCAGCAGCCUCCCUGAUGAGUUGCUCCACCAUAUACUGUCUUUCACGACAGCACGGGAGGCUGUACAGACAUGCGUGCUGUCCAUGAGAUGGCUCCACGUUUGGAAACCAUUGCGGCGCCUUAACAUUGAAGGACGCGAAUUCACUAGCAAGAUAGGAUUCAUGAAAUUCAUAGACAAUUUACUACUGCACCGUGGCUGUAUUCCUCUGGACAACUUUCAAUGGACCUCAAGUAGUAGUGUUUCCCUUGACGAUGACAGAGCUAACCGAUGUGUUUGCUAUGCUCUGCAUUGCAAUGUUCGUGAGCUUGGGAUCAUUGAGCAUCAUCAGCUAUUGAAUCUAGAUCACUCUUACUUCACUUCAGUCCAUCUGAGAAUACUCAAAUCUCUCUGGUGUUUCAAUCACUGACGUCUUCAUGGAGAGGCUUUUUUCUCGCUGUCCGGCACGAUGAUAGACUGUCAAUUUCUUGUCACCAAAUUUUCCUCUGCCACUCUGAGUAAUAAUUACAUCUCGUUGCAUUGAGGCAUAUGAUUUUAACGAUGAUUUUGAAGAUUUUCUGAUAGAUGCCCCAAACCUUAUGUCACUGCACCUGGAGGACCUUCCAUUUUUAGCUCCUUGCCUUGUGAAUGUAUCAUCCUUGGUAACAGCCUCAAUUUCCCUUGAAGAAGAGUCCUACUCGAGUUUUGAUGCAAAAUACAGUAUAUUUGGUGCUCUGUCAAAUGCUACGAAUUUGAAGUUGCUUGCUCCAGUUGACAAUUAUGAUAAUUAUCCAUCACAGUUAAACAAGGUGCUGAAAAGGGACCUCCUGAGGUGCCAGACAUUCAACAACCUGAAAAAAUUGUCUGUUGGUGAUUGGUGCGUGGAUGCUGACCUUCUUGCAUUGUUCGACUUGCUUCAAUUCUCACCAAUCAUACAGAAACUUACCCUGCAUCUUGGAUCGAUUGGAGCUUGGGUUAGUCAUUGUAAAACUGAUGAAUCAAAAGUGAAGGUCAAUUGUGAACAUCUUAAGAAGGUUAAAAUCACUUGUGUCCAGGGAGAUAAAAGGGUCCCCAAUAUUGUGAAAAUUAUACUUGCCAAUGCCAAAUCUCUGCUGGAAAUUGUUAUCAAGCCAUACGAGCGUUGGGUAGGUCAUGCAGAUGUUCAGGACUUUGGUAUUUUGACUGUGAAUUAGAGCCUCUCAUGAAGCACAUGAUUGGGUCAUGAUCUGAUUUCAAGCCUGCUUCCGAGCUACAAAGACGACGGAAGACAAUUCGGCUGCAAGGGACCUCCCGGCCUGAAAAGGACAUGAUGGAUUCAGGUCUCCCUCAGGUCCUCGUCUUGGUCAAUCGUACAUGCAUUUCUGAACGUCCAAGACUCUAAAAGAAGAUCGUUGUGGUCACUUGUUGCUUCAACAUGUGACAAGGCAUGCUUUGUUGAUCGGUAGAGGAAAGGGCUAUUUAGUUGAUCUCUUGUGUCUACCACUGGCUACUGUUGUAAUGUUGUGUGCUCUCUUGACCCAUUCGUUGGUUUCUUGUUUAGGGCACAUGUUGUAAGUUGCAACAUCUAACUGAUUUAUCCUUUGCAUAACAUCCUAUAUUCCUAUCA
Setaria italica (foxtail millet) is the source of this 3256-nucleotide RNA transcript. RefSeq lists it as uncharacterized. Lineage: Eukaryota; Viridiplantae; Streptophyta; Magnoliopsida; Poales; Poaceae. The transcript is spliced from 7 exons. The record is from RefSeq and is a predicted model, not a curated record.